Cotesia glomerata is the source of this 941-nucleotide long non-coding RNA. RefSeq lists it as uncharacterized. NCBI's taxonomy places the organism in Eukaryota, Metazoa, Arthropoda, Insecta, Hymenoptera, Braconidae. The transcript is spliced from 4 exons. The record is from RefSeq and is a predicted model, not a curated record.
CAUCAAUUGUUUAUUAUUGUUUUUAUGGUAAACUAAGUUGAACAAGACUAUGGCAAAACCAUAUGCAGCAGUUUUUUUUGUUGGACAAGACUCGUAUUCUGAAAUUCCGAGCAAUUGGCUUCAAAAUUACAAUGAUCCUGAAGGAAAAAAGACGGUGUCAAUGGCCACCCUCAUUCGCUAAAAAUCUACAGCAAUUGUUAAAACAGAGAGUUGAACCAAAUGAUGAUUGGCCUAUUCAUGAAGUUGAGAUUCUAAGAUAUUGUGAUACUCUGGCUGCAGCAAGAAAAGCUGCCGAAGAUUCGGAAUAUGAGUCAACGACCGAAAAACCAUUGGGAAGAGGAUUUAGAUCGAAGCGACCUACUGCUGUUGCUGCGGCUGCUGUUAAAUAAAAAAACAACAUAGUAUUUGACAGUUCUGAUAAUGACAGCAAUGAUAGGACAAAUAAAUCAGCUCCUCAAAUGCCUCCAAUGCCUGUGAUCCCUGCAAUUGAAAAUCAGACAAAGAUUCCGUUUGCUGCAAAAACAUUGUCGUCUGUGCGUAAAAUGAAUGAAACUAAUGAUGUUCAAUCAAUGCAAGAACAUUUUGAAGACAAGUCAAGAACCGCUGGUUUUAAAAACGAUAAGAAUAAUAAAAAUCAUGUUCCAUCCGACUUGGAAAUUGAAGAAGAUGACGACAAUCGCUUCAAUAUACUGAAUGGUAUGAACCAAAACAAGUCGAAAAGAAAACUAAGCCUCCAAACAAUAACAAUACCGAAUCAUAAGAACUAACAAGUUUCCCGAGUAAGUGAAUUCAAGCAAAUUCACACUAUAUCCAUUCAAUGUAAGAUUUAUACUAGUAUAUAAUCCAAAAAGUGAAAAUAUUUUAUUUAGUAUUAGUAUGACUGAUUAAAAUAUUCUAUAAUUAAACUUUUGAUUGUUGAUAUUUUCACUUUUUGGAUUGUC